Molecule: long non-coding RNA, 1286 nt
Filed under: Lupinus angustifolius (narrow-leaved blue lupine)
Lineage: Eukaryota; Viridiplantae; Streptophyta; Magnoliopsida; Fabales; Fabaceae
Description: long non-coding RNA (LANG_LNC001063)
Source: RNAcentral
UUCUGGCAUACUGCUACUUGGUUUCUAGUGAUAUCAAAAUUAAAAUGAACUAUCAAAGGUAAAAAAAAAACUAGAAAGCAAUAAAAUUUCUCUAUGUAACUUGUCUUUUCCAAUUCACAAGGUCUUCAACAUUUUUCCUUUAAUAAUAUUAGUAUCUUCAUCAUAACCUAGUCAAGGUCAACUACAUACUCUUCUUCAUUAAAAAUAAUGAAAUAUCCAUCAUCCAGGAGGAGAGCAUUUAUUUGAAGAAUUGGAAAAACGAAGACUAAGAUAACUUUGCAGAAAAGAUUCCACAAUGGUGAACCACCCACCUCCCAUCAUCAAGCCUUCCUUUAGUAAGAACAAUGCCUCACAACAAAGCUAAGAACACCUACAUAGGCUCCUUUUCCCAAUCAAAUAAACCCCUACACAAUUCAAGUCCAUCUCUUAUUAUUCCAUUAACCACAUUCAUGAAUAAGUUUUCUUUUAUUCACAUAGAUAGCAUAAAUAGAAGGAAAGAUAUCGAUAAAGCGGCGAGUUAUCCACCAUACAUCUUCCUAGAAUAACAUUUUAUUAGCACAAUUGCUCUUUUUUGCAAUACAAGAGUAAAACCAACCAUCAUACCUCCCCAUAUUAGAUAAAUCUUUAUACCAUAAGGAAUUAGAAGUAAAAGAGGAACAUCUCUUUAGUUUCAAAAGAGCAACAUCAAAGUUACCAUAUCAAGGAAGAAGAACUCUCACCCAUAAAUAUUUUGUUUUGGUUAACAACCUCCAUCUCCAUUAUGUAAGAAAAGAUAAAUUAAAGCAAUUCAAAUCCUUAAUUCCUAACCCUCCCCCUUCUUUUUUUUUGCAUAACUACUCUCACUUUACCCAAGCAAUCUUUGGAAGGAUAUCACUUCUAACCCAUAAAUAGAUUUUUUUAUUGUUAACAAAAAUCUUCAAAACACAUUUUCGCAGUCUAAAAAUGAUAAAUAAUAAACUUGCAAACUAUUAAGAACUAAGUUUACCUUGGUAAUUCUUCCAUCCAAAGAUAGAUGCUUCCCCUUCCACAGCCAAUUUCUUCUUCAAUGAAACAAUGACCGGCUGCCAGCAAGCACUCUUCUAAGGUUAGCUCCAAUAGAAACACCCAAAUACAUAAAAAGCAGAGAACUCGAAAAAAUCAUGAUAAAAUUAGUGAGAACUAUAGUAUUAAGAUAAUCUAUAGAUGAUUUUUUGGAAAUGUAAUUUGAACAUUUAUGAUUUAAAAUUCAACCAAUUUUAGUACAAAUAAUAUCUGAUAACUCAUCCACUAGAUUUUCUCAUAUUAAC